RNAcentral lists this ribosomal RNA (253 nucleotides) under uncultured bacterium. RNAcentral's name for it is "partial 16S ribosomal RNA". It matches the Rfam family "Bacterial small subunit ribosomal RNA", at positions 524 to 776 of the family's 1533-position model. The record is from RNAcentral.
UACGGAGGGGGCUAGCGUUGUUCGGAAUUACUGGGCGUAAAGCGCACGUAGGCGGCUUUGUAAGUUAGAGGUGAAAGCCCGGGGCUCAACCCCGGAAUUGCCUUUAAGACUGCAUCGCUUGAAUCCGGGAGAGGUGAGUGGAAUUCCGAGUGUAGAGGUGAAAUUCGUAGAUAUUCGGAAGAACACCAGUGGCGAAGGCGGCUCACUGGACCGGUAUUGACGCUGAGACACGAAAGCCAGGGGAGCGAACGGG